This 496-nucleotide ribosomal RNA is filed under the name uncultured bacterium. RNAcentral's name for it is "bacterial SSU rRNA". It matches the Rfam family "Bacterial small subunit ribosomal RNA", at positions 28 to 521 of the family's 1533-position model. The record is from RNAcentral.
GAUGAACGCUAGCGGGAGGCCUAAUACAUGCAAGUCGAACGGUAACAGGUAGCAAUACGCUGACGAGUGGCGCACGGGUGCGUAACGCGUACACAAUCUGCCUUAUACUGGGGCAUAGCCUUUGGAAACGAAGAAUAAUUCCCCAUAACAUAUAGAAGAGGCAUCUCUUUUAUAUUAAAGCUCAGGCGGUAUAAGAUGAGUGUGCGUCCGAUUAGGUAGUUGGUGAGGUAACGGCUCACCAAGCCAACGAUCGGUAGCUGGUCUGAGAGGAUGAUCAGCCACACGGGCACUGAGACACGGGCCCGACUCCUACGGGAGGCAGCAGUAGGGAAUAUUGGACAAUGGGCGCAAGCCUGAUCCAGCCAUCCCGCGUGAAGGAUGAAGGUCCUCUGGAUUGUAAACUUCUUUUUCUUCGGGAAUAAAAACUAGGGGUUCUCCCCAGCUUGAAGGUACCGAAGGAAUAAGCACCGGCUAACUCCGUGCCAGCAGCCGCGGU